This 2923-nucleotide ribosomal RNA is filed under the name Klebsiella pneumoniae. RNAcentral's name for it is "bacterial LSU rRNA". It matches the Rfam family "Bacterial large subunit ribosomal RNA". Lineage: Bacteria; Pseudomonadati; Pseudomonadota; Gammaproteobacteria; Enterobacterales; Enterobacteriaceae. The record is from RNAcentral.
GGGUUGUGAGGUUAAGCGACUAAGCGUACACGGUGGAUGCCCUGGCAGUCAGAGGCGAUGAAGGACGUGCUAAUCUGCGAAAAGCGUCGGUAAGGUGAUAUGAACCGUUACAGCCGGCGAUGUCCGAAUGGGGAAACCCAGUGCAAUUCGUUGCACUAUCGUUAACUGAAUACAUAGGUUAACGAGGCGAACCGGGGGAACUGAAACAUCUAAGUACCCCGAGGAAAAGAAAUCAACCGAGAUUCCCCCAGUAGCGGCGAGCGAACGGGGAGCAGCCCAGAGUCUGAAUCAGCUUGUGUGUUAGUGGAACGGUCUGGAAAGUCCGACGGUACAGGGUGAUAGUCCCGUACACCAAAAUGCACAGGCUGUGAACUCGAAGAGUAGGGCGGGACACGUGGUAUCCUGUCUGAAUAUGGGGGGACCAUCCUCCAAGGCUAAAUACUCCUGACUGACCGAUAGUGAACCAGUACCGUGAGGGAAAGGCGAAAAGAACCCCGGCGAGGGGAGUGAAAAAGAACCUGAAACCGUGUACGUACAAGCAGUGGGAGCACCUUCGGGUGUGACUGCGUACCUUUUGUAUAAUGGGUCAGCGACUUAUAUUCUGUAGCAAGGUUAACCGUAUAGGGGAGCCGCAGGGAAACCGAGUCUUAACUGGGCGUUAAGUUGCAGGGUAUAGACCCGAAACCCGGUGAUCUAGCCAUGGGCAGGUUGAAGGUUGGGUAACACUAACUGGAGGACCGAACCGACUAAUGUUGAAAAAUUAGCGGAUGACUUGUGGCUGGGGGUGAAAGGCCAAUCAAACCGGGAGAUAGCUGGUUCUCCCCGAAAGCUAUUUAGGUAGCGCCUCGUGAAUUCAUCUUCGGGGGUAGAGCACUGUUUCGGCUAGGGGGUCAUCCCGACUUACCAACCCGAUGCAAACUGCGAAUACCGAAGAAUGUUAUCACGGGAGACACACGGCGGGUGCUAACGUCCGUCGUGAAGAGGGAAACAACCCAGACCGCCAGCUAAGGUCCCAAAGUCAUGGUUAAGUGGGAAACGAUGUGGGAAGGCACAGACAGCCAGGAUGUUGGCUUAGAAGCAGCCAUCAUUUAAAGAAAGCGUAAUAGCUCACUGGUCGAGUCGGCCUGCGCGGAAGAUGUAACGGGGCUAAACCAUGCACCGAAGCUGCGGCAGCGACACUAUGUGUUGUUGGGUAGGGGAGCGUUCUGUAAGCCUGCGAAGGUGUGCUGUGAGGCAUGCUGGAGGUAUCAGAAGUGCGAAUGCUGACAUAAGUAACGAUAAAGCGGGUGAAAAGCCCGCUCGCCGGAAGACCAAGGGUUCCUGUCCAACGUUAAUCGGGGCAGGGUGAGUCGACCCCUAAGGCGAGGCCGAAAGGCGUAGUCGAUGGGAAACAGGUUAAUAUUCCUGUACUUGGUGUUACUGCGAAGGGGGGACGGAGAAGGCUAUGUUAGCCGGGCGACGGUUGUCCCGGUUUAAGCAUGUAGGCUGGUUGUCCAGGCAAAUCCGGAUAAUCAAGGCUGAGGUGUGAUGACGAGGCACUACGGUGCUGAAGUAACAAAUGCCCUGCUUCCAGGAAAAGCCUCUAAGCAUCAGGUAACAUCAAAUCGUACCCCAAACCGACACAGGUGGUCAGGUAGAGAAUACCAAGGCGCUUGAGAGAACUCGGGUGAAGGAACUAGGCAAAAUGGUGCCGUAACUUCGGGAGAAGGCACGCUGGUGUGUAGGUGAAGUCCCUGCGGAUGGAGCUGAGACCAGUCGAAGAUACCAGCUGGCUGCAACUGUUUAUUAAAAACACAGCACUGUGCAAACACGAAAGUGGACGUAUACGGUGUGACGCCUGCCCGGUGCCGGAAGGUUAAUUGAUGGGGUUAUCCGUAAGGAGAAGCUCUUGAUCGAAGCCCCGGUAAACGGCGGCCGUAACUAUAACGGUCCUAAGGUAGCGAAAUUCCUUGUCGGGUAAGUUCCGACCUGCACGAAUGGCGUAAUGAUGGCCAGGCUGUCUCCACCCGAGACUCAGUGAAAUUGAACUCGCUGUGAAGAUGCAGUGUACCCGCGGCAAGACGGAAAGACCCCGUGAACCUUUACUAUAGCUUGACACUGAACAUUGAGCCUUGAUGUGUAGGAUAGGUGGGAGGCUUUGAAGCGUGGACGCCAGUCUGCGUGGAGCCAACCUUGAAAUACCACCCUUUAAUGUUUGAUGUUCUAACGUUGGCCCCUUACCGGGGUUGCGGACAGUGUCUGGUGGGUAGUUUGACUGGGGCGGUCUCCUCCCAAAGCGUAACGGAGGAGCACGAAGGUUAGCUAAUCCUGGUCGGACAUCAGGAGGUUAGUGCAAUGGCAUAAGCUAGCUUGACUGCGAGCGUGACGGCGCGAGCAGGUGCGAAAGCAGGUCAUAGUGAUCCGGUGGUUCUGAAUGGAAGGGCCAUCGCUCAACGGAUAAAAGGUACUCCGGGGAUAACAGGCUGAUACCGCCCAAGAGUUCAUAUCGACGGCGGUGUUUGGCACCUCGAUGUCGGCUCAUCACAUCCUGGGGCUGAAGUAGGUCCCAAGGGUAUGGCUGUUCGCCAUUUAAAGUGGUACGCGAGCUGGGUUUAGAACGUCGUGAGACAGUUCGGUCCCUAUCUGCCGUGGGCGCUGGAGAAUUGAGGGGGGCUGCUCCUAGUACGAGAGGACCGGAGUGGACGCAUCACUGGUGUUCGGGUUGUCAUGCCAAUGGCACUGCCCGGUAGCUAAAUGCGGAAGAGAUAAGUGCUGAAAGCAUCUAAGCACGAAACUUGCCCCGAGAUGAGUUCUCCCUGAGACUUUAAGUCUCCUGAAGGAACGUUAAAGACGAUGACGUUGAUAGGCCGGGUGUGUAAGCGCAGCGAUGCGUUGAGCUAACCGGUACUAAUGAACCGUGAGGCUUAACCUUACAACGCCGAAG